Molecule: ribosomal RNA, 760 nt
Filed under: uncultured bacterium
Lineage: Bacteria
Description: bacterial SSU rRNA
Rfam family: Bacterial small subunit ribosomal RNA
Source: RNAcentral
AGUUGAUACUGGCGUCCUUGAGUGCGGUUGAGGUGUAUGGAAUUCGUGGUGUAGCGGUGAAAUGCUUAGAUAUCACGAAGAACUCCGAUUGCGAAGGCAGUACACUAAGCCGCUACUGACGUUGAGGCUCGAAAGUGUGGGUAUCAAACAGGAUUAGAUACCCUGGUAGUCCACACGGUAAACGAUGAAUACUCGCUGUUGGCGAUAUAAUGUCAGCGGCCAAGCGAAAGCAUUAAGUAUUCCACCUGGGGAGUACGCCGGCAACGGUGAAACUCAAAGGAAUUGACGGGGGCCCGCACAAGCGGAGGAACAUGUGGUUUAAUUCGAUGAUACGCGAGGAACCUUACCCGGGCUUAAAUUGCACUGGACAGGCUCAGAGAUGGGCUUUUCUUCGGACCAGUGUGAAGGUGCUGCAUGGUUGUCGUCAGCUCGUGCCGUGAGGUGUCGGCUUAAGUGCCAUAACGAGCGCAACCCUUGCCUUUAGUUACUAACAGGUUAUGCUGAGGACUCUAGAGGGACUGCCAUCGUAAGAUGUGAGGAAGGUGGGGAUGACGUCAAAUCAGCACGGCCCUUACGUCCGGGGCUACACACGUGUUACAAUGGGAGGUACAGAAGGCUGCUACCCGGCGACGGGAUGCCAAUCCCCAAAACCUCUCUCAGUUCGGAUUGGAGUCUGCAACCCGACUCCAUGAAGCUGGAUUCGCUAGUAAUCGCGCAUCAGCCACGGCGCGGUGAAUACGUUCCCGGGCCUUGUACACAC